RNAcentral lists this long non-coding RNA (1529 nucleotides) under Linum usitatissimum (flax). RNAcentral's name for it is "long non-coding RNA (LUSI_LNC007423)". Lineage: Eukaryota; Viridiplantae; Streptophyta; Magnoliopsida; Malpighiales; Linaceae. The record is from RNAcentral.
CUGAAUCUUGAAGAAGUUAUCCAUCCAAUCUGGAUCAUGAUGUUGAAGCUUUUAUAUUAUUGUGCAAUCAAGUUCACGAAGAAGCGAAUCAAGCAAGAGAAAAGGUGACGGGGCUGAAAAUACAAAGGCAAGAGCAAGCAGCAGCUCGUAGAGAGAAACUUAAGCAGGAUUAUUUAAGAAAAAAGCUGGAGAAACUGAAAGCUAGGACCUCCGUAGCAGAAGAAGAAAAACAACAUGCAGAAGGUAGCUGAACUUCAGCUUAUUGUUCGAUUAUAGGCUCUGACCAGAGACCCGGAGGUCAAUGAAGCAGCAGAGUUGGGGUUUCUUCGGAGGGAAAUACGUGUAUUCUUAGCUAAUGUUGUUACCCACCGCACAGGCCACUUCUCAAUUCCACCAUUCGUAUGAGUCUUCAUCCAUCAAGGUUCAAUCUAGAACAUAACAAUUAGCCCUACCAACAACAUUAGAUUCACAACUAUCACCGCAAUCCUUGCCAGUCUCCUCCACCGAGUAGACGAAGUUUAAACAAGUGGAAAUGAUGCCUCCUGACGACAAAGAAAGUAGCAAGCAAAAGAGAGUUCUGAUUGACUGCGUUGCCUGCUUACAUAUGGAGGAAGGAGAGUUAAUUAUUAUUAUUGUUCUUGUUGUUGGGAGGCUGCUGCUGCUGCAAGAAGUCUUGUCUUUUCCUUAAGGAAUUUCACUUGGUGUUGGAGCUCAAUCACAGGGCCGAGGAUCCUAGCAUUGGCCUGCUGCUCCAAACACCGGAAGGCGAGCCACUACCAUACUAAUUGCUAACAGAAAGAAGCAACCACUAGGAGCCGGAAACAGCGAUGGAGGUUAACGAAUUGAAACAUGGAAAUGAAAUCUAGAACCCUAGCUAUUACAACAACUAACCAAAUCGGAGAAGAAGAUGCAUAGGCCAGAUGGGAAUAAAAUGGAAGAAGAGCUCAAAGAAACAUAGCUAUAAUUAUAUCCUUUUUAACCACUAUAAGCUAGUAUGCUAUAGAGAACAAGAAGAACACAGCAGACGCGUUUCUCCGAUCGAGUAAAGAAAGAAGGAACAACUGACUUACAGGGAUUGGAGGCUAUUGACACACUGUUGGAUUCCGAGCUGACGCAAACAGAAGAGGAGCAGAGUGGAGCACGAGCUUUGCUGGCUUGGAGCAGGGGCGAUUGCAAUGGAGCCUGGAGAGAGACUGGAGAGUAUGGAACAGCGGACUGAGAGUCUCUGAGAUUUGGAUGAUUGCGAUGGAGAGCCAAUGUUGAACUGAGGCCCAAUUUUAGGGUUUGGACUUUUAUGAGAGGUUUUUGAGUUUUUGGUUGCUGAGUUGUCUUGGUUCACUAGGUAUGUUGCCCAAUAGCUCUUAUAAUACAAAAAACUUCAAAAAAAUUGGAAGAGGAAUGAGGUGUAGGUCUAAGAGUCGGUUAAUUCGAUUUCUUUUUAAUUGUGAGAUUUCAUAAUUCCUUUUUAUGUGUAAGAUUACACGAUUCUGCAUUGUUUUUAUUAUCAUUGUAAACCAACUAUGUUCGUU